Long non-coding RNA from Photinus pyralis (common eastern firefly), 523 nucleotides. RefSeq lists it as uncharacterized. The transcript has 2 exons. Lineage: Eukaryota; Metazoa; Arthropoda; Insecta; Coleoptera; Lampyridae. The record is from RefSeq and is a predicted model, not a curated record.
UAAUCAAGAUGAGGUUCAUAGUGCCUAUCGUAGUUUUAACGUUUCUAAUUUUCGAGGUGGUUGCGGUUUCUCGAUUCGAAUCCAAGCAAUUAGGAUCAGAAGAGCCAGCAGUGGAGUACACCUUGGGGAUAAUUCGCUGCCUUAAAGAGGGCCUCAAACCAUUUGAUUUUAAUGUGCUGAAGACGCUUUGGCGCAUCUAUUGGCUUCUGUUUAGUUUCACUCUUUGCCUAAUACCUCUGCUCAUAAUAAGUAAUGACUAUGUAACCGAAUGCGUUUUAAGAAUUAGUGACCUAGAUGAUAUAAUGUUUGGGAUGUCAACAUGGGAUUAUUAUAUGAAAGUAGAUGAAAUUCUAGCACAGGCUACGCUUCCACCGAGCGUAAAAAAAUGUGUGGAGUUCGAUAUAUGGUCUAGCCCUGCCCCGUCCACUACUACCACCACAACGCUGUGAAACUUUCGCCAUUUCCGUAUAAUCGUAAUGUAACCAUUGUAGAUCUUCUGUUAAAAAUAUAAUAUAGCCUUAUU